This is a long non-coding RNA of Strongylocentrotus purpuratus (purple sea urchin), 164 nucleotides long. RefSeq lists it as uncharacterized. The record is from RefSeq and is a predicted model, not a curated record. Lineage: Eukaryota; Metazoa; Echinodermata; Echinoidea; Camarodonta; Strongylocentrotidae. The transcript has 4 exons.
GUGUUACAGAUGAAACAACCGCGCCGACAACGUUAACAAGUGCCAGCCGUGAAACGCCUACAGAAGAACGGACUCCAACGCCAAGUGUCAGAGGUGAAACAACCGUUCCGACAAGGUCAACAAGUGGCACUCCUGAAACACCUACAGAAAAACGGACUCCUACG